GGAUCGAUCACCAGCGACAUGGCGCCGGCCCUGAUCGACCGCUACGACCUGCUGCGCGGUGUCAAAAAACUGGGCACCUGGUGGGAAUGGUCCGAACUGUUCUUCGGCAACGGUUUCGACCUGUCCAUGCAUCGCCGCGACACCACCGACGCGGUGUGGGAUGCGACGCUCGCGGCGGCGAACAAGGGGCCGGGCGACUGGUACGCCGACGCCGACAGCCUGCGUUAUUCGUUCUUU
RNAcentral lists this unclassified non-coding RNA (237 nucleotides) under Hevea brasiliensis (rubber tree). Lineage: Eukaryota; Viridiplantae; Streptophyta; Magnoliopsida; Malpighiales; Euphorbiaceae. The record is from RNAcentral.